ACUUGUGGGAAGAAAAUUCAAUUCGAUUUUGGUGCAAGAUAAAUUGAAACUUAUAGGCCCUUAUAUUUAUAUUUCAACAUUAAGAGUAGGUUUUUCUGUGACUUCAGGACUUCCUGCAACCAGUAGACAAGGUCAAUAAAGAAGAAAGAGACAUGUCAAGGUGAUAAUCAAGUCAUUUCAGUUACCAUGUGCUAUCAAACUACUGGACUAAAAAGAAGUUAAAAAAGGGG
This 230-nucleotide long non-coding RNA is filed under the name Elaeis guineensis (African oil palm). Its description in RNAcentral is "long non-coding RNA (EGUI_LNC031021)". Lineage: Eukaryota; Viridiplantae; Streptophyta; Magnoliopsida; Arecales; Arecaceae. The record is from RNAcentral.